AUGGGAACCGCGGCAAAUGUUCCUGGUCCAACCAGGACUGAGCUAGGAGCUAGGGCUAUUGACGGAGCUGUGCAAGGAGAAGAAGGAGAGGAUGAGGUUGGUUCUCAACCUAUGGAACCCUAUGUUGGCAUGAGGUUUGACAGCCUUCAAAUUGCUAAGGAUCACUACAACAGCUAUGCACUACGGAUGGGUUUCUCUGUCAAGAUGAACACCUCUAGGCAGACACCCCACACCAAUGUAUUGGUAAAACAACAGUUUUGCUGCAACAAGUUCAAGAAGGCCAAAGCUGAUGAUGGAGGAGCUGAGGCUCCUCCUGUCCUGGAACCUAUUCCAGAUCCAACAACUGUUGACAGUGAUGAGGAAAUGGAAGAUGAACCUCCAAUCUUUGCUGAAGAGGAGGCUGGUCCUAGUAAGAAGGAGAAGAAACGGAAACGCGAGACAAUAAAGUAG
Molecule: ribosomal RNA, 450 nt
Filed under: Triticum aestivum (bread wheat)
Lineage: Eukaryota; Viridiplantae; Streptophyta; Magnoliopsida; Poales; Poaceae
Description: partial small subunit ribosomal RNA
Source: RNAcentral